AGUGAACGCUGGCGGUAGGCCUAACACAUGCAAGUCGAACGGCAGCACAGUAAGAGCUUGCUCUUACGGGUGGCGAGUGGCGGACGGGUGAGGAAUACAUCGGAAUCUACUUUUUCGUGGGGGAUAACGUAGGGAAACUUACGCUAAUACCGCAUACGACCUACGGGUGAAAGCAGGGGAUCUUCGGACCUUUCGCGAUUGAAUGAGCCGAUGUCGGAUUAGCUAGUUGGCGGGGUAAAGGCCCACCACGGCGACGAUCCGUAGCUGGUCUGAGAGGAUGAUAGGCCGCACUGGAACGGAGACACGGACCAGACUCCUGCGAGAGGCAGCAGUGGGGAAUAGUGGGCAAUGGGCGCAAGCCUGAUACAGCCAUAGCGCGUGGGUGAAGAAGGCGUUGGGUUUGGGAAGCCCUUUUGCUGGGAAAGAAAAGCAGCCGGUUAAUACGCAGCGGUACUGACGGUACCCGAAGAAGAAGCACCGGCUAACUACGUG
Molecule: ribosomal RNA, 492 nt
Filed under: uncultured bacterium
Lineage: Bacteria
Description: partial 16S ribosomal RNA
Rfam family: Bacterial small subunit ribosomal RNA
Source: RNAcentral